CAGCAGCCGCGGUAAUACGUAGGGGGCGAGCGUUAUCCGGAUUUACUGGGCGUAAAGCGCGUUAAGGCGGCCGACAAAGUUGGUGGUGAAAUUUCAGGGCUCAACUCUGAAACUGCCUCCAAUACUGGUCGGCUUGAGUGCGAUAGAGGAAGGUGGAAUUCCCGGUGUAGUAGUGAGAUACGUAGAUAUCGGGAGGAACACCAGUGGCGAAGGCGGCCUUCUGGCUCGCAACUGACGCUGUAGCGCGAAAGCGUGGGGAGCGAACGGGAUUAGAUACCCCGGUAGUCCACGCCCUAAACGAUGUGCACUAGGUGUUGGGCGUAUUGACGCGCUCAGUGCUGCAGCUAACGCAUUAAGUGCACCGCCUGGGGAGUACGGUCGCAAGAUUAAAACUCAAAGGAAUUGACGGA
RNAcentral lists this ribosomal RNA (410 nucleotides) under uncultured bacterium. RNAcentral describes it as "bacterial SSU rRNA". It matches the Rfam family "Bacterial small subunit ribosomal RNA", at positions 509 to 917 of the family's 1533-position model. The record is from RNAcentral.